AUGGCGGCCGCCACCACCCAAGCCUUGUCUUGCUAUAAAUCUUCACGAAUAGCGAAGGGAAGAAGAAGGGGAAAGGGGAUGGCCGCCGACACCGCCUACGUGAAGCGGGUGCUGCUCGCUUGCAACGGUGGCACCGACGCCGUCUCGCGGAGGGUCGCCGUCGGCCUCGCCAGGCACGGCUGCAACAUGGUGGAUCAAGGGAAGCCGACCUUCACCCCCAAGAAGGGCAAGCCCAGCGUCGUCAUAAUGGUAAGGAUGAUGCUUUUGCUUAAGGAGAGGCUCAAGAAGAUCAGGGAGCUUCGCAUCCGAGUUUCAGCCAUCCUCUACAGCAAGGAGCUCUGGGCCAAAGGAGCAACCAGCACUGCUAGUUCCUUGAGGCCAGAUCGAGAACAGUAUGAGGAGGAGCUAGCUUACAUGUACCAGGAAGAGGAGGAGCCGCUAUGUGACCAUCAAGGCCAGUACUACACGUCGUUCUAUCCAUCUCGUAGCUCCAAUUUCCCGAGCUUUGGGGGCGAGAGCCCAAACGAGCUGGGCAGCUAUCUCCAGCUCCAUCGCCAUCAGUCAACUUCCUCUCCUUUGGCGCUGGCCAGGCUAGCACCCUCAACUUCUCCGGAGGAGCCUACGAUGGACUCCAAUUCCAGGGCAGACGGGAUCUCUCUCCUUGGGAGCACCAUCGACUACGUGAAGCAGCUGGAGGAGAAGGUGAAGACCAUGGGAGAGCAAGGCCAGCAGAGGUCGCCAGAGUGCACCGUGUUCGAGAGCAAGUGCAGCAUAUCCGCUGCGAACAAGGACGACUCAGCAGGCCACAGCAGGAGCAGCUCCGAGUCAGGCGACGCCGAGUACUCAAACCCGGUGGACGUUGAGGCCAGCAUCCACGGGAACACGGUGCUCCUGAAAAUCUACUGCAAGGAGAGGAGGGGGGUGCUAGUGAUGGUGCUCUCCGAGCUCCAGAACCAGGGCCUCUCCAUCAUAACCACCAAUGUCCUACCGUUCACGGACUCCUCCCUCAACAUCACCAUCACCGCAAAGGCAAGCCCUCUCUGCCCUCCACUGCUCAGAAGAUUACUUCCAAGAGGAAGAAGAAUGCUCUGCCAGCAGAGGUCGCCAGAGUGCACCGUGUUCGAGAGCAAGUGCAGCAUAUCCGCUGCGGACAAGGACGACUCAGCAGGCCACAGCAGGAGCAGCUCCGAGUCAGGCGACGCCGAGUACUCAAACCCGGUGGACGUUGAGGCCAGCAUCCGCGGGAACACGGUGCUCCUGAAAAUCUGCUGCAAGGAGAGGAGGGGGGUGCUAGUGAUGGUGCUCUCCGAGCUCCAGAACCAGGGCCUCUCCAUCAUAACCACCAAUGUCCUACCGUUCAUGGACUCCUCCCUCAACAUCACCAUCACCGCAAAGGCAAGCCCUCUCUGCCCUCCACUGCUCAGAAGAUUACUUCCAAGAGGAAGAAGAAUGCUCUGUUAG
This 1461-nucleotide ribosomal RNA is filed under the name Triticum aestivum (bread wheat). RNAcentral describes it as "partial small subunit ribosomal RNA". The record is from RNAcentral. Lineage: Eukaryota; Viridiplantae; Streptophyta; Magnoliopsida; Poales; Poaceae.